RNAcentral lists this long non-coding RNA (4641 nucleotides) under Hordeum vulgare. RNAcentral's name for it is "long non-coding RNA (HVUL_LNC001615)". The record is from RNAcentral. Lineage: Eukaryota; Viridiplantae; Streptophyta; Magnoliopsida; Poales; Poaceae.
UGGUGAAAAAUUCUUCGGUAACUUUCCGUAUCCUUACAUGAAUGGAUUGCUUCAUUUGGGACAUGGGUUCUCCUUGUCCAAGCUUGAGUUUGGUGCUGCAUACCACAGACUCCGUGGCUCGAAUGUUCUAUUGCCAUUUGCUUUCCACUGUACUGGGAUGCCAAUCAAGGCCUCAGCUGAUAAGCUGGCCAGGGAGAUAUGACAGUAUGGAAACCCUCCAGUGUUUCCUCAAGCAGAGAAUAAUUCAAGCGCUGAAGUGGCAGAUGAUAGAGAAGUUGAGCAGGCUGCUGCCGUUACCCCAGAUAAAUUUAAGAGCAAGAAAUCUAAGGCUGCUGCAAAAACUGGCAUGCAGAAGUUCCAAUGGGAGAUCAUGAAGAGCUUUGGCCUGUUAGAUGAAGAAAUUGUCAAACUUCAAGAUCCUUAUCACUGGUUGACCUACUUCCCUCCGUUGGCGGAGAAAGACCUGAAGGACUUUGGCCUAGGUUGUGAUUGGAGGCGUUCAUUCAUAGCCACCGACAUGAAUCCUUUCUAUGAUGCUUUUGUUCGAUGGCAGAUGAGAAAGCUCAAGAAAAUGGGCAAAGUUGUGAAGGACAAGAGGUACACAAUCUACUCGCCAUUGGAUGGCCAACCUUGUGCCGACCAUGACAGGGCAACAGGUGAAGAUGCACAGCCACAAGAAUAUGUACUGAUUAAAAUGGAGCUGAUUCCACCUUUUCCCCCAAAGUUGAAGGUCUUGGAAGGAAAAAAUGUUUAUUUGGCAGCAGCUACAUUGAGACCAGAGACAAUGUAUGGCCAAACAAACUGCUGGGUGCUGCCUCAUGGCAAUUAUGGGGCUUUUGAGGUCAAUGAUGCCGAUGUAUUCAUUCUGACCGCAAGGUCUGCUCUUAAUCUUGCAUAUCAGAAUCUAUCCAGGGUCCCUGAAAAGCCAACCUGCUUAGCUGAGUUUUCUGGCAACGAUUUGAUUGGUUUGCCAUUAAAGUCUCCUCUUUCCUUCAAUGAAAUCAUAUAUGCGCUUCCCAUGCUCACUAUCUUAACGGAUAAAGGUACUGGCAUUGUGACUAGUGUUCCAAGCGAUUCGCCAGACGAUUUCAUGGCACUGCAAGCUUUAGUCACAAAGCCGGCAUUGAGAGCAAAAUUUGGAGUCAAAGACGAGUGGGUUCUUCCAUUUGAUAUUAUACCUAUAAUCGACAUUCCUGGAUUUGGAGACAAGUCAGCUGAGAAGGUGUGUGUUGAUCUUAAGAUUACGAGCCAAUAUGACAAGGAAAAACUUGCUGAUGCGAAAAGGAUGACAUAUCUUAAAGGGUUCACAGAAGGAGUGAUGGUUGUAGGGGAGUACAAUGGCAGAAAGGUUGAAGAAGCAAAGCCACUGAUUAAGAACAAGCUUUUGGAAGAAGGCUUGGCUGUUUUGUAUAGUGAGCCCGAGAAAAAGGUUAUGUCAAGAUCUGGUGAUGAGUGUGUCGUUGCUCUAACAGAUCAGUGGUACAUAACUUAUGGUGAGGUUGAAUGGAAGCAGAAGGCGGUCAAAUGUUUGAAGAACAUGAAUACAUUUUCAGCUGAAACUCGUACUGGAUUCGAGCAUACACUGGGCUGGCUGAACAAGUGGGCAUGCUCACGUUCUUUCGGCCUAGGUACUCGCAUUCCAUGGGAUGAGCAGUUCCUUGUAGAAUCUCUUUCUGAUUCAACCCUAUACAUGGCGUAUUACACGAUUUCACAUCUUCUACAAAACGGUGACAUUUAUGGAAAAGGAAGAUCUUCUAUUAGGCCAGAGCAAAUGACGGAUGAGGUAUGGGAUUAUGUUUUCUGUGAUGGCCCGGCACCCAAAAGCGACAUCCCUCCUGCCAUGUUGAGCAAAAUGAAUGAAGCAAGAAUAUGAGUACUGGUAUCCCUUGGAUAUUCGAGUUUCUGGUAAGGAGCUUAUCCAGAACCAUCUGACAUUCAGCAUUUACAAUCAUACAGCACUGCUUCCAGAGCACCAUUGGCCUCGUGGCUUCCGCUGCAAUGGACACCUUAUGCUUAACUCUGAGAAAAUGUCCAAGUCCACAGGGAAUUUCCAAACUCUUGGGCAGACCAUUAAAGAGUACUCUUCAGACGCCACCAGGUUUGCCCUUGCUGAUGCGGGUGAUGGUAUGGAUGAUGCAAAUUUUGUCACUGAAACUGCAAAAUCUGCCAUCAUGAGGCUUACAAAAGAAAUUGCAUGGAUGGAAGAGGUUAUAGCUGCUCAAUCUUCUCGGCGAUCUGGUCCUCCCUCUACUUACGCUGACCAUGUGUUUGCCAAUGAGAUCAACAUUGCUGUGAAAGAAACCGAGAAGAGCUACAAUUCCUUUAUGUUCAGAGAUGCCUUGAAGUCUGGGUUUUAUGACCUACAGUUGGCUAGAGAUGAGUACAGGCUCUCUUGUGGAGCGGCAGGCAUGAAUCGUGGUUUAUUGGUGCGGUUCAUGGAAGUUCAGACGAGGCUCAUCACUCCAAUUUGUCCACACUAUGCUGAACAUGUGUGGCAGAAUAUCCUAAGGAAGGUUUUGCAAUAAAGGCUGGAUGGCCUAUCGCAGACACUCCCAAUCCUACUCUAAGAAUUGCAAACAAGUAUUUACAGGAUUCAAUUGUUUUGAUGAGGAAGCUGCACCAGAAGCAAGGAUCUGGCUCCAAGAAACCCAAGAAGGGCGCGGCAAUGCCUCCAUCCGCAGAGAACAAGCUCACUGUUGGUCUCAUAUAUGUCAACGAGCACUAUGAUGGAUGGAAAGAGCAAUGCUUGAGGGUGCUUCAGUCGAACUAUGAUAGCCAAACACGUUUGUUUGCCCCUGACGAGGACAUUAAGGAAGCGCUGAAGAAUUGCUUCAUCGAACAUGAAGCAAACUUCACACAAGUCCAGAAGCUCUGCAUGCCUUUCAUCAGGUUCAAGAAAGAUGAAGCAAGGACCAUCGGUCCACAGGCUUUGAAUUUGAAGCUUUCCUUUGGUGAAAUGAACGUGCUUGAGGAGAACCUGGAGCUGAUCAAAAGGCAGCUGGAUCUUGAGCAUGCAGAGGUGCUGUCGGCAUCUGAUGGAGCUGCUCGUGCCAGAGCUGGACGGCAUGUUUCUGUGCUUAACAACAACCCACCUUCCCCUGGGGAGCCAGUUGCAAUAUUCAUGAGCAAGCAGGAGUUCGUUGCCCAAAACUAAGCUCAGCUUCAUCGAUGUAAGUUGUAGUUUUAGCUUGCCUGACAUAUUUGCAUCUUGGCCAUUUCAUGUUAGUCCUGAGUGUGAUUAUGAGAAUAGAUGUAAGUUGUAUUGCACUGUUGUGGCCUGAAACUGGUUCCUCCUUGUGAUGGUUUGCUCAACUGUUAAGGCUCAUUUUGCUUCUAGAUUAAUGUGCUUAGUCAGAUUACAUGCAUGUGUACACAAGCUCUGCUAUGCCUUUUGGCUGUACUGAAACCAAGUUCUGAAAUGUUCAGGAAAAACAAGUUCUGCACUGACAUCUCUGUCCAUUUACCAUUCCUUGUAUGUGAUGUGUAUGGGGCUUUUUAUCUGUCAUGGCAAUCCUGGUUAUAUGUAGCUUGGGAAAUCAUGUAUGUAUAUAAAUGAGUGAUUUGUGUUUAGGAUCUCAAGCACCAUUGUCAGCCUUAUUAAAGAUAGAAACGCUAUCGCCUGAUUUUGUUACUGCUGCAAUAGAAAUCUUGUCAGGCUCAUUCAAGAUGGCUAUUAGAUAACUCCAUGCCGGUACUGUUGUAACAGAGCAUGGGUCAGUAGCAUUGUUGUAGUUGCGCCUUACGUCGCAGGGUAAUUGGCUCAUAGUGCUGCUACCUUCGACGAACCAAAGCGUGCUAUUAUGCUCCAGAGAGGCGAAUAUCACUUCUGACACCGUGUGUUUGUUAUGUGAUGUAUGGAUUCGUCUGUUGCGACACUCCUGUCCUAUGUGCUACAGUAUAUUUUUGCGUGAGGUCAUGUAUGAAUUAUGAAAUGUGCUGAGGUUCUUCUUCCUUUGGAUGAAUAGGUGAGGAAAGGAAAGCUGGCGUGCUUGACGGUGUGAAGAUCCGAGAAGGUCGAGGAUUCAGAAAUGGUAAGCAUACUGUUUGAUGUGGCUGUUCAUUCUUCGAAUUCUUGAUACGCAAGAACUGAGGAAAUGCAGACCAUACUUGCACAUGUUGACACGUAGGACGCCUGCAGCCUGACAUGGCAUGUUAAUUUGGCAGGCAGGUUUCCUGUGUUUAGACUUGAAAAUUCUAUUUUGCCUCCUGUGAAUAUUACAAAGGAAUAGGUUGAUGCGUGAGAAGGGUUCUGAGCUCCAUGCUCUUGUGCAAGCUGAUUCCUGUCUAGCUUUCAGGCUUACCUGUGUAUACAAUUUGUUUUGAAACAAGGUGUAUAGAUUUUACAACUUGUCUCUGGAUGUGUGCUUGCGAAGGUACAGUAGAGAACCCGUGGGGUUUUUACUGGGAGGAUGUAACUCCCACUCUCCCAGCCCUGGAGGGCGCUUGUCACAAAGUGGUGCUUGAAACUUGAAGCUGCACUUGUUACUGACACUUGAAACAUCCUAGCUACCGUCAGUUCAAAAUGCUCUGCUAUUCUUAGUUUUUUUUUUACCCUUUUCCAACUGCUUGUUGGCCUAUUACCCAUUCCAAAUCAGUGGAGACCAUCAGUUACAGAACACCAAUUGUUAAUUUGUCAUGUCG